UGAGUUUGAUCAUGGCUCAGAUUGAACGCUGGCGGCAGGCCUAACACAUGCAAGUCGAGCGGCAGCGGAAAGUAGCUUGCUACUUUGCCGGCGAGCGGCGGACGGGUGAGUAAUGUCUGGGGAUCUGCCUGAUGGUGGGGGAUAACUACUGGAAACGGUAGCUAAUACCGCAUAACGUCGCAAGACCAAAGUGGGGGACCUUAGGGCCUCACGCCAUCGGAUGAACCCAGAUGGGAUUAGCUAGUAGGUGAGGUAAUGGCUCACCUAGGCGACGAUCCCUAGCUGGUCUGAGAGGAUGACCAGCCACACUGGAACUGAGACACGGUCCAGACUCCUACGGGAGGCAGCAGUGGGGAAUAUUGCACAAUGGGCGCAAGCCUGAUGCAGCCAUGCCGCGUGUGUGAAGAAGGCCUUCGGGUUGUAAAGCACUUUCAGCGAGGAGGAAGGUAGUCGUGUUAAUAGCACGGCUAAUUGACGUUACUCGCAGAAGAAGCACCGGCUAACUCCGUGCCAGCAGCCGCGGUAAUACGGAGGGUGCGAGCGUUAAUCGGAAUUACUGGGCGUAAAGCGUACGCAGGCGGUUUGUUAAGUCAGAUGUGAAAUCCCCGAGCUUAACUCGGGAACUGCAUUUGAAACUGGCAAGCUAGAGUCUCGUAGAGGGGGGUAGAAUUCCAGGUGUAGCGGUGAAAUGCGUAGAGAUCUGGAGGAAUACCGGUGGCGAAGGCGGCCCCCUGGACGAAGACUGACGCUCAGGUACGAAAGCGUGGGGAGCAAACAGGAUUAGAUACCC
Molecule: ribosomal RNA, 790 nt
Filed under: uncultured bacterium
Lineage: Bacteria
Description: bacterial SSU rRNA
Rfam family: Bacterial small subunit ribosomal RNA
Source: RNAcentral